UUCGCAAUGCCCGAAAGGGUGACGAAGCGACGCCGCGUGUGGGAAGAAGGCCUUCGGGUUGUAAACCACUGUCGGGAGUUAAGAAAUGUAAGGAUGUUAAUAGCGUCCUUACUUGACUAAGGCUCCGGAGGAAGCCACGGCUAACUCUGUGCCAGCAGCCGCGGUAAUACAGAGGCGGCAAGCGUUGUUCGGAAUUAUUGGGCGUAAAGAGCACGUAGGCGGCUAUGUAAGUCGGUUGUGAAAGCCUUCCGCUCAACGGGAGAACAGCAGUCGAUACUGCAUAGCUUGAGUGCGGGAGGGGAGAGCGGAACUUCUGGUGGAGCGGUGAAAUGCGUAGAUAUCAGAAGGAACGCCGGCGGCGAAAGCGACUCUCUGGCCCGAAACCGACGCUGAGUGUGCGAAUGCUAGGGGAUCAAACGGGAUUAGAUACCCCGGUAGUCCUAGCCGUAAACGAUGGGCACUAAGUAGAGGGGUUUU
RNAcentral lists this ribosomal RNA (477 nucleotides) under uncultured bacterium. RNAcentral's name for it is "bacterial SSU rRNA". It matches the Rfam family "Bacterial small subunit ribosomal RNA", at positions 365 to 832 of the family's 1533-position model. The record is from RNAcentral.